CCCGCAGGGGAGUGGCAGACGGGUGAGUUAACGCGUGGGAAUCUACCGUACCCUACGGAAUAACGCAUGGAAACGUGUGCUAAUACCGUAUACGCCCUUCGGGGGAAAGAUUUAUCGGGGUAUGAUGAGCCCGCGUUGGAUUAGCUAGUUGGUGGGGUAAAGGCCUACCAAGGCGACGAUCCAUAGCUGGUCUGAGAGGAUGAUCAGCCACAUUGGGACUGAGACACGGCCCAAACUCCUACGGGAGGCAGCAGUGGGGAAUAUUGGACAAUGGGCGCAAGCCUGAUCCAGCCAUGCCGCGUGAGUGAUGAAGGUCUUAGGAUUGUAAAGCUCUUUCACCGAUGAAGAUAAUGACGGUAGUCGGAGAAGAAGCCCCGGCUAACUUCGUGCCAGCAGCCGCGGUAAUACGAAGGGGGCUAGCGUUGUUCGGAAUUACUGGGCGUAAAGCGCACGUAGGCGGAUAUUUAAGUCAGGGGUGAAAUCCCGCAGCUCAACUGCGGAACUGCCUUUGAUACUGGGUAUCUCGAGUAUGGAAGAGGUGAGUGGAAUUCCGAGUGUAGAGGUGAAAUUCGUAGAUAUUCGGAGGAACACCAGUGGCGAAGGCGGCUCACUGGUCCAUUACUGACGCUGAGGUGCGAAAGCGUGGGGAGCAAACAGGAUUAGAUACC
Molecule: ribosomal RNA, 668 nt
Filed under: Paenirhizobium daejeonense
Lineage: Bacteria; Pseudomonadati; Pseudomonadota; Alphaproteobacteria; Hyphomicrobiales; Rhizobiaceae
Description: bacterial SSU rRNA
Rfam family: Bacterial small subunit ribosomal RNA
Source: RNAcentral